RNAcentral lists this ribosomal RNA (414 nucleotides) under Triticum aestivum (bread wheat). RNAcentral describes it as "partial small subunit ribosomal RNA". The record is from RNAcentral. Lineage: Eukaryota; Viridiplantae; Streptophyta; Magnoliopsida; Poales; Poaceae.
AUGGCUGCUUGUGUUAAUCUUGAAGAUGCACUUAACCGUGGAGAACAUACAGAUACUGACGGCCCUGGAUUGUUUUGCGAACUAAUGUUUGUCCAGGAUUCACUUCAGAAAUCUAUGGGUCCUCUUAACAUUCUCAACUAUUUGAAGAAGCGCUCCACAAUCUAUCCUAAUGAUGUUAUUACAUACAUAGUUUUGUUGACCAUUCCUGUGACUGUUGCGUCUGCAGAAAGGAGUUUUCUUAAAUUCAAGUUGUUGAAAUCCUACUUGUGUUCUACUAUGACACAAGAAAGGCUCAAUGGAUUGGCGACACUAGCACUUGAAAAUGAUGUCUUGGAGAAGAUAAAUUACGAAGAUAUGAUUGAAGACUUUAUUUCAAGAAAUACUAGACAUAUGCUACUUUUUGGUAGAACAUGA